Molecule: ribosomal RNA, 257 nt
Filed under: uncultured prokaryote
Description: partial 16S ribosomal RNA
Rfam family: Bacterial small subunit ribosomal RNA
Source: RNAcentral
GGACCCGCACAAGCAGUGGAGUAUGUGGUUUAAUUCGAGGCAACGCGAAGAACCUUACCAGGUUUGACAUCCUGCGCAAGACCUAGAGAUAGGUUGUUCCUUCGGGACGCAGAGACAGGUGGUGCAUGGUUGUCGUCAGCUCGUGUCGUGAGAUGUUCGGUUAAGUCCGGCAACGAGCGCAACCCUUGUUGUCAGUUACCAUCAUUAAGUUGGGGACUUUGGCGAGACUGCCGUUGACAAAACGGAGGAAGGUGGGG